CCAGACUCCUACGGGAGGCAGCAGUGGGGAAUAUUGCACAAUGGGGGGAACCCUGAUGCAGCGACGCCGCGUGGGUGAAGGAGCACCUCGGUGCGUAAAGCCCUAUCGGCAGGGAAGAAAAGCGAACAGGUUCGCCUGGACGGUACCUGACUAAGAAGCCCCGGCUAACUACGUGCCAGCAGCCGCGGUAAUACGUAGGGGGCAAGCGUUAUCCGGAUUUACUGGGUGUAAAGGGAGCGUAGACGGCGAAGAAAGUCUGAAGUGAAAGCCCGCGGCUCAACCGCGGAAGGGCUUUGGAAACUUUUUUGCUGGAGUACCGGAGAGGUAGGCGGAAUUCCUAGUGUGGCGGUGAAAUGCGUAGAUAUUAGGAGGAGCACCAGUGGCGAAGGCGGCCUGCUGGGCUGUGACUGACGUUGAGGCCCGAAGGCGUGGGGAGCAAACAGGAUUAGAUACCCUGGUAAUA
RNAcentral lists this ribosomal RNA (463 nucleotides) under uncultured bacterium. RNAcentral's name for it is "partial 16S ribosomal RNA". It matches the Rfam family "Bacterial small subunit ribosomal RNA", at positions 331 to 795 of the family's 1533-position model. The record is from RNAcentral.